CCCACUCCCCAAUAUGGAUCUGGGUACGGGAGAAAGUCUGAAUAUGAAGAACCCACUCCCCAGUAUAGAUCCGGGUAUGGAAGGAAGAGUGAGAAUGAAGAACCCACUCCCAAGUAUGGAUCUGGGUAUGGGAGAAAGAGUGAAUAUGAAGAACCCACUCCCCAAUAUGGAUCCGGGUACGGAAGGAAGAGCGAAUAUGAAGAACCCACUCCUCAAUAUGGAUCCGGGUAUGGAAGGAAGAGUGAAUAUGAGGAGCCAAGUUCGGAAUACGGGUCGGGGUACCGAAAGAAGAGUGAAUAUGAGGAGCCAAGUUCCGAAUACGGGUCGGGUUAUGGGCGUAGAACUGAAUCUGAUGAAUAUGGAUAUGGGAGGAAGCCAAGCUAUGGACAGGAGGAAGGUUAUGGGCGUUCAAGCUACCAGCCUGAGGAGGGGGAAGGAUACGAUAGGC
This 448-nucleotide long non-coding RNA is filed under the name Capsicum annuum. RNAcentral describes it as "long non-coding RNA (CANN_LNC003811)". Lineage: Eukaryota; Viridiplantae; Streptophyta; Magnoliopsida; Solanales; Solanaceae. The record is from RNAcentral.